RNAcentral lists this ribosomal RNA (253 nucleotides) under uncultured bacterium. RNAcentral describes it as "partial 16S ribosomal RNA". It matches the Rfam family "Bacterial small subunit ribosomal RNA", at positions 524 to 776 of the family's 1533-position model. The record is from RNAcentral.
UACGUAGGGGGCAAGCGUUGUCCGGAUUUAUUGGGCGUAAAGAGCGUGUAGGCGGUUUGGUAGGUCCGCUGUGAAAACUCGAGGCUCAACCUCGAGACGCCGGUGGAAACCAUCAGACUAGAGUCAGGAAGAGGAGAGUGGAAUUCCUGGUGUAGCGGUGAAAUGCGCAGAUAUCAGGAAGAACACCCGUGGCUAAGGCGGCUCUCUAGUACGGUACUGACGCUGAGACGCGAAAGCGUGGGGAGCGAACAGG